Molecule: long non-coding RNA, 2631 nt
Filed under: Olea europaea subsp. europaea
Lineage: Eukaryota; Viridiplantae; Streptophyta; Magnoliopsida; Lamiales; Oleaceae
Source: RNAcentral
CGCUAAUAUUUACUUCGCCAGUAUUAUUGCCCUCUUAUCAUUUCUUCAUCCCGAAACGCCCCUUUCUCCCAUGAACGAUUCCGCUCCCGCCCCUCUUUGACCCAGAUGGUUUAGUUUUAAUUUCUGUUUUUUCCGAAAUUGUUGAUAAUUUCAGAUCUGAAGUUUAAUUUUGUUUUCUACAAAGAUUCAUUAUAUUAAAAGAAAAUUGAUAGAUGUCGGCUUCUUCACCAUACUGGUGUUACAGAUGCGACCGAUUCGUUACCGUUUGGACCCAAGAUUCCUUCACUUGCCCCGAUUGUAAUGGUGGGUUCGUGGAAGAAAUCGACACUCCUGACCGGCGCCGCCGUUUCCCCGCCGCCUCCAUGUACAUGGCGCAAACACCGGAGUCAAGUCCCGGAUUGGGGUCCGGAUCCAGCUCGAGGCUCAGAAGGAGCCGCAGGAAUGGGGGUAACCGGUCACCCUUUAACCCGGUCAUCGUGCUCCGUGGGCCGAACGAGGGAGGAGGUGGAGCGGCGGCUGGAGGAUUUGAACUGUAUUACGACGAUGGAGCAGGAAUAGGUUUGCAGCCGCUGCCUACUAGUAUGUCUGAGUUUUUGCUCGGAUCGGGUUUUGACAGAUUGCUAGACCAAUUGGCCCAAAUUGAGGCUAAUGGUGUCGGGCGAAUCAGUAUUAAUCCUCCAGCCUCGAAGGCCGCUAUCGAAUCGAUGCCCACAAUUGAGAUAGUUGAUGAGCAUAUUGCCACUGAGUCUCACUGUGCAGUUUGUAAGGAGGCUUUCGAGCUGCGAAGUGAGGCUCGAGAAAUGCCUUGCAAGCAUUUAUACCAUCAGGAUUGCAUCUUACCGUGGCUGUCGUUAAGGAAUUCGUGUCCAGUUUGCAGAUAUGAGUUGCCGACUGAUGGUAAUAACUAUGGUAUUAGCAAUAGUGACCCAAGUGAAGUGCAUCGAAGAGUAAACGAGGUGGGGAAUGGUGACGAAGCUGUUGGAUUGACGAUAUGGAGAUUGCCUGGUGGUGGGUUUGCUGUGGGCCGGUUUUCAGGAGGGAGGAGGGAUGGGGAGAGGCAGUCACCAGUGGUAUAUACUGAGAUGGAUGGUGGGUUUAAUAAUAAUGGUGUUCCAAGAAGGAUUUCAUGGGGCUCUAGAGGGAGUGUGUCACGGGAGAGGGGUGGAUUCAGGAGGAUUCUGCACAGCUUGUUUGCUUGUUUUGGCCGGGGUAGAUCAUCAACUUCUAAUUCUAACUUGGAUUAUUGAAUAAUUUGAAGGUGCGGCUUGUUUUCGUGAAGUGGAGGAUGAAGUUAUAAAGUUAAUGAUGGAAGUAGAAGAUGAUGGUAAACUUUGAAGCUUAAUUGGCUGCAGAGAAUCAAUAUCGGUGGAAGACUGUGUGAUACAUCGGGAUUAAAUGAAUAUAAAAUAGUCAAUAAUAUCACUUGAGCUUUGUCUUCUGUUGAAGAAUUAUUGCUGCAGCAAUGUCUUGAUAGUGAAUGAGAUGGAUAUGGAACUUGAGAAAAAGAAUUGAAGAUGAAGAAGAGACAGAGCGACUAAUUCAUUAUGCGAGAAGCUGGUGUUGGUAUUAAUGGCUCCUGUGUACACCACACCACCGAAGUACUUUGAACUUUCAGCGCAUUUCUGCAAUUUAUAAUUUGCUUGACACCACUGUUAUUAUGGUUAGUUAUUUAUUUUCUGUAAUCUAUAUUAAAGUUUAGAGUAUGAGUUAAUGCUUUGUGUGACAUUUUUCGAUGGGCACAUCAUUUAUAUAUAAUUAUAUAUAUCCUACCUUGGAAGUUUAGUUUAGGCAUUGCCUCAUUGUUGUGAAAAAACAGAUUUUAUUCUUAUUCAAUUCUUUUAAUUAAAUGACUACUUUUAAAGUUGAUCUUGUUUACUUGGAUGUUGGUUUUAGCAACAGGCCCCCAUUACGUGGAAAAAUUAAUGAGUGGAAUAAUAUUUUUCUGAAAAAUGAGUGGUUGAAAGAGAAGUGUAAUAUUAUUUUAUGGAAGAUUGUGUGGUUGAAAUUAGGAAAGAGAAAAAUGAAAUGUAAUUGAACGAAAAUUAAUGGUCUCAUCUUGUUUUCUUGUAGAAGUUUUGGGGGAGAAAUAUGAGUUUGCUACCAGUUGGAUGGUGCUUUAGGGUCUCAUUUAAUAGUGUUGCUCCAUCUUGCAACUAAGCCCCUGUUUGAGCUCCAUUCAUUCUUUCCCAAAAUCAUUUUCAACCAUCUCUCUCCAAAUAAAAUAAUUUCUGUACGUAAAUCCAAAACUAUCCCCAAAACACGGGGCUAACUGCAAUUGUUCAAAAUCAGCUUCACAUCCAUAUUAGUGUUUUGACCAUGAAGAUUGUGAACUUGUGCUCUAUGUUGUAACUGUAUGAUGUGAUUUAAAUAAUUUGGAUGUUUUUAUUUUCUUGUAAAAAUGUCUGUUAGCUAUCAUACGUCUCUCAUUUAAAAUGUCAUUCUAUCUUGCAACCUACUAUUACUGUUCACGAACAACUUCAAAUUGUUAUAUUCUGAAAAAGGCUAUACAUAUUAGUGUUUUGGCUAUGAGAUUGUGAACUUGUGCUCCAUGCUGUCACUGAUUUGAUUUUAAAAUUUUUUAUAAUAUCAUGUUGUUUUCUUGUAGAAGAAAUGUGGGGGGGAGAAAUUUAU